This 940-nucleotide ribosomal RNA is filed under the name Listeria monocytogenes. RNAcentral describes it as "partial 23S ribosomal RNA". It matches the Rfam family "Bacterial large subunit ribosomal RNA", at positions 408 to 1349 of the family's 2925-position model. Lineage: Bacteria; Bacillati; Bacillota; Bacilli; Caryophanales; Listeriaceae. The record is from RNAcentral.
CUGAGUACGGCGGAACACGUGAAAUUCCGUCGGAAUCCGGGAGGACCAUCUCCCAAGGCUAAAUACUCCCUAGUGACCGAUAGUGAACCAGUACCGUGAGGGAAAGGUGAAAAGCACCCCGGAAGGGGAGUGAAACAGUUCCUGAAACCGUGUGCCUACAAGUAGUUAGAGCCCGUUAAUGGGUGAUAGCGUGCCUUUUGUAGAAUGAACCGGCGAGUUACGAUUUGUUGCAAGGUUAAGCGGAAAAAGCGGAGCCGUAGCGAAAGCGAGUCUGAAUAGGGCGCAUAAGUAACAGGUCGUAGACCCGAAACCAGGUGAUCUACCCAUGUCCAGGAUGAAGGUAAGGUAAUACUUACUGGAGGUCCGAACCCACGCACGUUGAAAAGUGCGGGGAUGAGGUGUGGGUAGCGGAGAAAUUCCAAUCGAACUUGGAGAUAGCUGGUUCUCUCCGAAAUAGCUUUAGGGCUAGCCUCGAGGUAAAGAGUCAUGGAGGUAGAGCACUGUUUGGACUAGGGGCCCUUCUCGGGUUACCGAAUUCAGAUAAACUCCGAAUGCCAUGUACUUAUACUCGGGAGUCAGACUGCGAGUGAUAAGAUCCGUAGUCGAAAGGGAAACAGCCCAGACCACCAGUUAAGGUCCCCAAAUAUAUGUUAAGUGGAAAAGGAUGUGGGGUUGCUUAGACAACCAGGAUGUUGGCUUAGAAGCAGCCACCAUUGAAAGAGUGCGUAAUAGCUCACUGGUCGAGUGACCCCGCGCCGAAAAUGUACCGGGGCUAAACAUAUUACCGAAACUGUGGAUGAACCUCUUUAGAGGUUCGUGGUAGGAGAGCGUUCUAAGGGCGGUGAAGUCAGACCGGAAGGACUGGUGGAGCGCUUAGAAGUGAGAAUGCCGGUAUGAGUAGCGAAAGAAGGGUGAGAAUCCCUUCCACCGAAUAUCUAAG